GCACCAGCACUCCAAUGUCAGCCGUGAAGUUUGGUCUUGUCCUAAUGUUCGGACUCAUAGUCAUGGUGGAGAAUGUCUCAAGUGGGAAAGUACUAUACAAUCAGUGCGUUGGUCGUGUUUGCUGGAGUCCAGGUGACCCUCGUUGUGGUCCAUUCUGUGAUUGCAACCGUAUACCCCGCGGAUACCGUUGUACAAUAAGGUUUAUGAAUAGACCUGGCUAAACAGAAGCUACAUCGCAUGAUGGCAUGGAGAAUCUGCACAGGGAAACUAAGCAAUACAAUGCUGCCAAAAACCGUUAAACAACUUGUGAAAAUUCUUCGAACUGAGCGACCUUGAAGAUGUUGAACUAAUUGAUGGAAGUGUAGGGUUUUGGUAGCGGGAUCGUAUUGCGGACGCGGCAGCCGCAUUUGUAUGGAGGCAAUAUGCUAGAGGCCCGUGUGCUUAGAUUUAGGCACUAAUUAAAGAACCCGUAUGGACCAAAUAUUCAGAGCCCUUCACUACGGAGUCUCUCACAAUCAUAUCGUUGUUUUGGAACGUAACCCCUCCCCCAGAUACUGUAUAUUAUUAAUUGUAGGGCUUUACUUGCCUUUAUUUAGAUAAGAUUUUGAGUCGCGCUGUAGUGCAGUACACAGCAAUUAUUUUUUUACAAGCUGUGGUUUUGAUACCGUCCACCCAGCGCGAGGCAAAUGAUGGUUCUCUCAUCCUGAUGGCAUUGGAAUGCGGUCGGCACGGCAGGGGUUGGAUCCCACAACAUCUUGCUUACUUAAGCAACGUUUUCUUCAUCAGGCUGACACGACGGGUCCAUGAUAGAUUAAGGAUCGACCUUGAGCCGUUUACUGUAGACGCCGGAUUUCCAACUGCCAACAAGCCUUACAUAUAGACGAUAUGGUCGGAAAUACCGGCGUCCGGCGGCGUUGUGAAGACGAGCAAUACCGAAAUUUUCGUGAUGUUUAAUUCAGAUGUAACAAUGCGAAAUAAUUAGAAGUGAAAAUUAUUGCGAAUUCAGUAUAGAUUCAAUGUCAAAUUCAAGUGAAUGAAUGUACAUUAAAGUGAAUUAUGAGUGAAUCGACGCACACUGAAGUAAUUGAAGAGUGAUACCACGCAGCAUAAUUUGCAUCAAGUGUGUAUAAAACGAAGUAAUAUUGAGUAACGAGUGAAUGAACUGACUUAGGUGGGAGAGAGCGAAUAAAAUGAAUAAAAAUCUAAUCAAUAAUUAUUAAAGCGACUCAAGUGUAAAUAAACGUAUAUUAAAGUGAAUUAAUGUACAUUAAAUUGAACCCAGAGUGAUUAAAGAACAGCAAACAUUUUCGGCACGCGAAGGGUCAGGAAAACCUAUAUUCCCGCUUUUUCUGGGAACAUAGCCUUCAGUCAAAUGCUCCAGCCCGCAGUAGUUAUUCGCAAUUACACAGCUGCCCGCUAGAUUAGAAGCGUCAUUGCCAUUUGAUGAAAAGUUGACGCCCCGCAAAUUUUGCUGCCAGCUGUACAUCAACGCAAAUAAAGAGUGAAUAAACGUAGAGCAAUAUCAAUCAAGAGAAUCAAAAGUGAC
Rhipicephalus sanguineus (brown dog tick) is the source of this 1546-nucleotide long non-coding RNA. RefSeq lists it as uncharacterized. NCBI's taxonomy places the organism in Eukaryota, Metazoa, Arthropoda, Arachnida, Ixodida, Ixodidae. The record is from RefSeq and is a predicted model, not a curated record. The transcript is spliced from 3 exons.